Mastomys coucha (southern multimammate mouse) is the source of this 746-nucleotide long non-coding RNA. RefSeq lists it as uncharacterized. The transcript has 3 exons. Lineage: Eukaryota; Metazoa; Chordata; Mammalia; Rodentia; Muridae. The record is from RefSeq and is a predicted model, not a curated record.
UCUGGUCUUCCAACCAUAGGCAGGGGCCAUUUUGGUCAUCUGGUUCAGGCAGUGUUGACUGCUGCUACUCGAGAACCCAGAGUUCUCCUCCGCCAGAGAAAGAACUGGAAUCUGUGAUCGACCAACCUACAGGGCUGUGAUGCUUUCAAAGCAGACCUUGGAUGAACGUUCUCUCAUUUGCUGAUAUCUUAGUGCAGUGAUCCCUGAAGGGUGCCGUCUGAUCUCACAAUGGCAAUGUAGCUGACAUCACGACCAAGCUUGUCGCUAAACCACAUCUACUCCCACCUCAGAUGUCAUACAUGUUGAACAUGGAGAAAUCAAGUCAGUGCUGACUAGGAAACUUCCUCCCUGAUGGCUAGCUCGAAUAGUACUGGAAGGUUCUAUGUCAGCUGCUGGGAAAUUUGGACAAUGUCAUCAACACUCUUACCCAACUGUGGAUCCUGAAAUCUGCCAGUGAUCUCAGGAACUCCUAUCAGCUGUACUUGUCUACACAAGGUCAAGCUAGUCAACCUUAUAGCUUAGAGUGGAAAAGGCUUCAUCAGCCCUAGCACUUAACUGAGGAUCUAUGGCAUCUGGUAAAGAGAGAGGAGAGAGAAUCCAUUUUCUUUAAUGGUGUGGCUCUUGAGCCAUUGGAUGAACCCACACCAAGGAGUCCAUGGAAAGCACAAAUUUGAGCCAAUAGAUUAUGAUUAUUUUUUUUUUGUUUUUGUUUUGGUUUUUUCAAGACAGGGUUUCUCUGUGUAGCC